UGGGCAACCUGCCCCUCUCUCUGGGAUAACCCCGGGAAACCGGAGCUAAUACCGGAUACUCCGGCUGGAUCGCAUGGUCCGGCCGGGAAAGGUCCGCCGGAGAGGGAUGGGCCCGCGGCCUAUCAGCUUGUUGGUGGGGUCAUGGCUCACCAAGGCGACGACGGGUAGCUGGUCUGAGAGGACGACCAGCCACACUGGAACUGAGACACGGCCCAGACCUCCUACGGGAGCA
This 232-nucleotide ribosomal RNA is filed under the name uncultured bacterium. RNAcentral describes it as "partial 16S ribosomal RNA". It matches the Rfam family "Bacterial small subunit ribosomal RNA", at positions 118 to 347 of the family's 1533-position model. The record is from RNAcentral.